Molecule: ribosomal RNA, 433 nt
Filed under: uncultured bacterium
Lineage: Bacteria
Description: partial 16S ribosomal RNA
Rfam family: Bacterial small subunit ribosomal RNA
Source: RNAcentral
AACGAACGCUAGCGGCAUGCCUAACACAUGCAAGUCGAACGAGACCUUCGGGUCUAGUGGCGCACGGGUGCGUAACGCGUGGGAACCUGCCCUUAGGUUCGGAAUAACUCCCCGAAAGGGGUGCUAAUACCGGAUAAUGUCUUCGGACCAAAGAUUUAUCGCCUUUGGAUGGGCCCGCGUUGGAUUAGCUAGUUGGUAGAGUAAAAGCCUACCAAGGCGACGAUCCAUAGCUGGUCUGAGAGGAUGAUCAGCCACACUGGGACUGAGACACGGCCCAGACUCCUACGGGAGGCAGCAGUGGGGAAUAUUGGACAAUGGGCGAAAGCCUGAUCCAGCAAUGCCGCGUGAGUGAUGAAGGCCUUAGGGUUGUAAAGCUCUUUUACCCGGGAUGAUAAUGACAGUACCGGGAGAAUAAGCUCCGGCUAACUCCGUG